CCAGACUCCUACGGGAGGCAGCAGUGGGGAAUAUUGCACAAUGGGGGAAACCCUGAUGCAGCGACGCCGCGUGAAGGAAGAAGGUCUUCGGAUCGUAAACUUCUAUCAGCAGGGAAGAAGAUAGUGACGGUACCUGACUAAGAAGCCCCGGCUAACUACGUGCCAGCAGCCGCGGUAAUACGUAGGGGGCGAGCGUUAUCCGGAAUUACUGGGCGUAAAGGGUGCGUAGGCGGCCUUUUAAGUCAGAUGUGAAAGGCUACGGCUUAACCGUAGUUAGCAUUUGAAACUAAGAGGCUUGAGUGCAGGAGAGGAGAGUGGAAUUCCUAGUGUAGCGGUGAAAUGCGUAGAUAUUAGGAGGAACACCAGUGGCGAAGGCGACUCUCUGGACUGCAACUGACGCUGAGGCACGAAAGCGUGGGUAGCGAACAGGAUUAGAUACCCUGGUAGUCCACGCCGUAAACGAUGAGUGCUAGGUGUUGGUGGGGACACCCAUCAGUGCCGCAGCUAACGCAUUAAGCACUCCGCCUGGGGAGUACGGUCGCAAGACUGAAACUCAAAGGAAUUGACGGGGACCCGCACAAGCAGCGGAGCAUGUGGUUUAAUUCGACGCAACGCGAAGAACCUUACCAGGGCUUGACAUCCCUCUGACCGGAUUAGAGAUAGUCCUUUCUCUUCGGAGACAGAGGAGACAGGUGGUGCAUGGUUGUCGUCAGCUCGUGUCGUGAGAUGUUGGGUUAAGUCCCGCAACGAGCGCAACCCUUGCCUUUAGUUGCCAUCAGGUAAAGCUGGGCACUCUAGAGGGACUGCCGGUGACAAACCGGAGGAAGGUGGGGAUGACGUCAAAUCAUCAUGCCCCUUAUGUCCUGGGCUACACACGUGCUACAAUGGUCGGUACAACGGGAAGCGAGACUGCGAAGUUUAGCCAAUCCCAAUAAGCCGAUCCCAGUUCGGAUUGUAGGCUGCAACUCGCCUACAUGAAGUCGGAGUUGCUAGUAAUCGCGAAUCAGCACGUCGCGGUGAAUGCGUUCCCGGGUCUUGUACACACCGCCCGUCACACCAUGAGAGUCGGUAACACCCGAAGCCAGUGAGCUAACCUUUGGAGGCAGCUGUCGAAGGUGGGAUCGAUGAUUGGGGUGAAGUCGUAACAAGGUAGCC
This 1155-nucleotide ribosomal RNA is filed under the name Proteiniborus sp. enrichment culture clone WSC-19. RNAcentral describes it as "bacterial SSU rRNA". It matches the Rfam family "Bacterial small subunit ribosomal RNA", at positions 331 to 1501 of the family's 1533-position model. The record is from RNAcentral. Lineage: Bacteria; Bacillati; Bacillota; Clostridia; Eubacteriales.